Molecule: RNase P RNA, 314 nt
Filed under: zebrafish metagenome
Description: Bacterial RNase P class A
Rfam family: Bacterial RNase P class A
About the family: Ribonuclease P (RNase P) is a ubiquitous endoribonuclease, found in archaea, bacteria and eukarya as well as chloroplasts and mitochondria.
Source: RNAcentral
AAUCGCUGCGAUGGCCCCAAAGCUAUCGGAGAGGAAAGUCUGGACUUCGCAGGAGCAGAUACCAGUGAAAGACUGGGGGCUGUAAAGCUACGGAAAGUACAACAGAAAACACACCGCUUCUUUAUGAAGACAGGAUGAAAACGUUCGCUUUGAGAGCGAACCGGGCGUCAGAGAUGACGCCUCCGUGUAAACCCUAUCUGAAGCAAGAAAAAGAGCCAUAUCCCGCUCCAGGAGGCUCUUGAUAGUCGCUUGAGGGUUUUGGCAACAAAACCCCUAGAUGAAUGAUUGCUCAAGACAAAAUCCGGCUUAUCGCA